Molecule: small nuclear RNA, 91 nt
Filed under: Panthera tigris altaica (Amur tiger)
Lineage: Eukaryota; Metazoa; Chordata; Mammalia; Carnivora; Felidae
Source: RNAcentral
GUGCUCGCUUCGGCAGCACGUAUACUAAAAUUGGAACGAUACAGACCCGGCAACAGAUGACACCCAAACUUUUGAAACAUUCCCUUUUUAA